CGGGGGUAUAUGUCUUCGGAUAUAGAGACCGGCGCACGGGUGCGUAACGCGUAUGCAAUCUACCUUUUACAGAGGGAUAGCCCAGAGAAAUUUGGAUUAAUACCUCAUAGUAUAGCUCUACCGCAUGGUAGUACUAUUAAAGUCACAACGGUAAAAGAUGAGCAUGCGUCCCAUUAGCUAGUUGGUAAGGUAACGGCUUACCAAGGCAACGAUGGGUAGGGGUCCUGAGAGGGAGAUCCCCCACACUGGUACUGAGACACGGACCAGACUCCUACGGGAGGCAGCAGUGAGGAAUAUUGGACAAUGGGCGCAAGCCUGAUCCAGCCAUGCCGCGUGCAGGAUGACGGUCCUAUGGAUUGUAAACUGCUUUUGUACGAGAAGAAACACUGCUUCGUGAAGCAGCUUGACGGUAUCGUAAGAAUAAGGAUCGGCUAACUCCGUGCCAGCAGCCGCGGUAAUACGGAGGAUCCAAGCGUUAUCCGGAAUCAUUGGGUUUAAAGGGUCCGUAGGCGGUUUAGUAAGUCAGUGGUGAAAGCCCAUCGCUCAACGGUGGAACGGCCAUUGAUACUGCUGAACUUGAAUUAUUAGGAAGUAACUAGAAUAUGUAGUGUAGCGGUGAAAUGCUUAGAGAUUACAUGGAAUACCAAUUGCGAAGGCAGGUUACUACUAAUUGAUUGACGCUGAUGGACGAAAGCGUGGGGAGCGAACAGGAUUAGAUACCCUGGUAGUCCACGCCGUAAACGAUGGAUACUAGCUGUUGGGAGCAAUCUCAGUGGCUAAGCGAAAGUGAUAAGUAUCCCACCUGGGGAGUACGUUCGCAAGAAUGAAACUCAAAGGAAUUGACGGGGGCCCGCACAAGCGGUGGAGCAUGUGGUUUAAUUCGAUGAUACGCGAGGAACCUUACCAAGGCUUAAAUGUAGAUUGACCGGUUUGGAAACAGAUCUUUCGCAAGACAAUUUACAAGGUGCUGCAUGGUUGUCGUCAGCUCGUGCCGUGAGGUGUCAGGUUAAGUCCUAUAACGAGCGCAACCCCUGUUGUUAGUUGCCAGCGAGUCAUGUCGGGAACUCUAACAAGACUGCCAGUGCAAACUGUGAGGAAGGUGGGGAUGACGUCAAAUCAUCACGGCCCUUACGCCUUGGGCUACACACGUGCUACAAUGGCCGGUACAGAGAGCAGCCACUGGGCGACCAGGAGCGAAUCUAUAAAACCGGUCACAGUUCGGAUCGGAGUCUGCAACUCGACUCCGUAAGCUGGAAUCGCUAG
RNAcentral lists this ribosomal RNA (1263 nucleotides) under Flavobacterium sp. EP239. Its description in RNAcentral is "bacterial SSU rRNA". It matches the Rfam family "Bacterial small subunit ribosomal RNA", at positions 63 to 1338 of the family's 1533-position model. Lineage: Bacteria; Pseudomonadati; Bacteroidota; Flavobacteriia; Flavobacteriales; Flavobacteriaceae. The record is from RNAcentral.